Molecule: ribosomal RNA, 550 nt
Filed under: uncultured bacterium
Lineage: Bacteria
Description: bacterial SSU rRNA
Rfam family: Bacterial small subunit ribosomal RNA
Source: RNAcentral
GUUCGUAGGCGGUGCGGCAAGUUGGGAGUGAAAUCUCUGGGCUCAACCCAGAGGCUGCUUCCAAACUGCUGUGCUUGAGUGUGGGAGAGGCGCGUGGAAUUGCAGGUGUAGCGGUGAAAUGCGUAGAUAUCUGCAGGAACACCCGUGGCGAAAGCGGCGCGCUGGACCACUACUGACGCUGAGGAACGAAAGCUAGGGGAGCAAACAGGAUUAGAUACCCUGGUAGUCCUAGCCCUAAACGAUCAGGACUUGGGGUGCCACCCGUUCGGGUGUCGUCCCGGAGCUAACGCGUUAAGUCCUGCACCUGGGGAGUACGGUCGCAAGACUGAAACUCAAAGGAAUUGACGGGGGCCCGCACAAGCGGUGGAACAUGUGGUUCAAUUCGACGCUACGCGAGGAACCUUACCUGGGCUCGAAAUGCUGGUGACCAGCUGUAGAAAUACGGCCUUCCCGCAAGGGACACCAGUAUAGGCGCUGCAUGGCUGUCGUCAGCUCGUGCCGUGAGGUGUUGGGUUAAAUCCCGCAACGAGCGCAACCCCUGCACGUAAUU